This is a long non-coding RNA of Rhipicephalus sanguineus (brown dog tick), 242 nucleotides long. RefSeq lists it as uncharacterized. The transcript is spliced from 3 exons. The record is from RefSeq and is a predicted model, not a curated record. NCBI's taxonomy places the organism in Eukaryota, Metazoa, Arthropoda, Arachnida, Ixodida, Ixodidae.
UUUCCAUUUUAGAUGCCAUGAAAUGGGAUGACCUGAGAGUAACUUGGGGCAUGCGCAACUGGAGAACAAGUGCGUUCGCCCAGAUGCCGCUGACGGCCAAGCAGGCAAAAGAGGUCGGAUUCGUGCAACUGAACAACCAGUGCGCAGGUACAUUUUAUGGAUUUCGGUUCAUGAAAGACAAUGAUCCUUCGGUGGUGCUUUUGUACGACGUGAAUGGCGUCAUUGCUGGAUUGCAGUCAGGG